Molecule: ribosomal RNA, 433 nt
Filed under: uncultured bacterium
Lineage: Bacteria
Description: partial 16S ribosomal RNA
Rfam family: Bacterial small subunit ribosomal RNA
Source: RNAcentral
AACGAACGCUGGCGGCAUGCCUAACACAUGCAAGUCGAACGAGACCUUCGGGUCUAGUGGCGCACGGGUGCGUAACGCGUGGGAACCUGCCCUUAGGUUCGGAAUAACUCCCCGACAGGGGUGCUAAUACCGGUUAAUGUCUUCGAACCAAAGAUUUAUCGCCUUUGGAUGGGCCCGCGUUGGAUUAGCUAGUUGGUAGGGUAAAAGCCUCCCAAGGCGACGAUCCAUAGCUGGUCUGAGAGGAUGACCAGCCACACUGGGACUGGGACACGGCCCAGACUCCUACGGGAGGCAGAGGUGGGGAAUAUGGGAAAAUGGGCGAAAGCCUGAUCAAGCAAGGCCGCGGGAGUGAGGAAGGCCUUAGGGUUGUAAAGCUCUUUUACCCGGGAUGAUAAUGACAGUACCGGGAGAAUAAGCUCCGGCUAACUCCGUG